This 682-nucleotide ribosomal RNA is filed under the name uncultured bacterium. Its description in RNAcentral is "bacterial SSU rRNA". It matches the Rfam family "Bacterial small subunit ribosomal RNA", at positions 57 to 711 of the family's 1533-position model. The record is from RNAcentral.
GCAGUCGUACGCUUCUUUUUCCACCGGAGCUUGCUCCACCGGAAAAAGAAGAGUGGCGAACGGGUGAGUAACACGUGGGUAACCUGCCCAUCAGAAGGGGAUAACACUUGGAAACAGGUGCUAAUACCGUAUAACAAUCGAAACCGCAUGGUUUUGAUUUGAAAGGCGCUUUCGGGUGUCGCUGAUGGAUGGACCCGCGGUGCAUUAGCUAGUUGGUGAGGUAACGGCUCACCAAGGCCACGAUGCAUAGCCGACCUGAGAGGGUGAUCGGCCACAUUGGGACUGAGACACGGCCCAAACUCCUACGGGAGGCAGCAGUAGGGAAUCUUCGGCAAUGGACGAAAGUCUGACCGAGCAACGCCGCGUGAGUGAAGAAGGUUUUCGGAUCGUAAAACUCUGUUGUUAGAGAAGAACAAGGAUGAGAGUAACUGUUCAUCCCUUGACGGUAUCUAACCAGAAAGCCACGGCUAACUACGUGCCAGCAGCCGCGGUAAUACGUAGGUGGCAAGCGUUGUCCGGAUUUAUUGGGCGUAAAGCGAGCGCAGGCGGUUUCUUAAGUCUGAUGUGAAAGCCCCCGGCUCAACCGGGGAGGGUCAUUGGAAACUGGGAGACUUGAGUGCAGAAGAGGAGAGUGGAAUUCCAUGUGUAGCGGUGAAAUGCGUAGAUAUAUGGAGGAACACCA